GCUAUCAACUUUUGGAGGGCAAAUAAAUGUGGCAAUAAUUUUAUUGUCAAUGUGGUUAUAAUAUCUUUAAAACACAAUUUUAGAUUUAUUUAAAGUUUAAAAAAUAAUCCUUCUUAAGACAUUUCAAAAGAUAUAUACAAAUGUGCCAUUUACUGAAAAUUGAACAGAAAUAGGAUUAUAGCAUGAUAUUACUUUAACUAAAUAUCUUGACGUCCUCAAGGUCAGCCCUAAAGCUUCUGAUACAGAAAUACACAUUCCACUUUGAAAUCACUGUGGCUCAAAAAAGAAAACGCCUGAGGAUAUAGCAAGCUCAUCAUGCCUGUGCCCUCUCCUACUACAGUCGUCUCUCUUAAUAUUUUGCUAUGAAUUUAUAGGAUAUUUAAAAACUGGGUCAAAUUCUUGGUAACCAAGAACAUAAAAUGAGUUAGUAUUGUAACUAGCAUUUUGUACAG
Molecule: long non-coding RNA, 452 nt
Filed under: Bos taurus (domestic cattle)
Lineage: Eukaryota; Metazoa; Chordata; Mammalia; Artiodactyla; Bovidae
Description: long non-coding RNA NONBTAT000242
Source: RNAcentral